ACGGCUCAGUAACACGUGGAUAACCUGCCCUUGGGUCCGGCAUAACCCCGGGAAACUGGGGAUAAUACCGGAUAACGCAUAUAUGCUGGAAUUCUUUAUGCGUGAAAUGGAUUCGUCUGCCCAAGGAUGGGUCUGCGGCCUAUCAGGUAGUAGUGGGUGUAAUGUACCUACUAGCCGACGACGGGUACGGGUUGUGAGAGCAAGAGCCCGGAGAUGGAUUCUGAGACAUGAAUCCAGGCCCUACGGGGCGCAGCAGGCGCGAAAACUUUACAAUGCGGGAAACCGUGAUAAGGGGACACCGAGUGCCAGCAUCAUAUGCUGGCUGUCCGGGUGUGUAAAAUACACCUGUUAGCAAGGGCCGGGCAAGACCGGUGCCAGCCGCCGCGGUAACACCGGCGGCCCGAGUGGUGAUCGUGAUUAUUGGGUCUAAAGGGUCCGUAGCCGGUUUGGUCAGUCCUCCGGGAAAUCUGACGGCUUAACCGUUAGGCUUUCGGGGGAUACUGCCAGACUUGGAACCGGGAGAGGUAAGAGGUACUACAGGGGUAGGAGUGAAAUCUUGUAAUCCCUGUGGGACCACCUGUGGCGAAGGCGUCUUACCAGAACGGGUUCGACGGUGAGGGACGAAAGCUGGGGGCACGAACCGGAUUAGAUACCCGGGUAGUCCCAGCCGUAAACGAUGCUCGCUAGGUGUCAGGCAUGGCGCGACCGUGUCUGGUGCCGCAGGGAAGCCGUGAAGCGAGCCACCUGGGAAGUACGGCCGCAAGGCUGAAACUUAAAGGAAUUGGCGGGGGAGCAC
RNAcentral lists this ribosomal RNA (796 nucleotides) under uncultured archaeon. RNAcentral's name for it is "bacterial SSU rRNA". It matches the Rfam family "Archaeal small subunit ribosomal RNA", at positions 85 to 879 of the family's 1478-position model. The record is from RNAcentral.